GACGAACGCUGGCGGCGUGCUUAACACAUGCAAGUCGAACGGAAAGGCCUGCUUUCCCUUGUGGAUUGCGGGUACUCGAGUGGCGAACGGGUGAGUAACACGUGAGUGAUCUGCCCCCAACUUGGGUAUAAGCCUGGGAAACUGGGUCUAAUUCCCGAUAGGACUGCAGGGUGGUGCCUGUGGUGGAAAACGAUUUUCUAGUGGUUGGGGAUGAGCUCGCGGCCUAUCAGCUUGUUGGUGGGGUAAUGGCCUACCAAGGCGGCGACGGGUAGCCGGCCUGAGAGGGUGGACGGCGACAUUGGGACUGAGAUACGGCGCAGACUCCUACGGGAGGCAGCAGUGGGGAAUAUUGGACAAUGGGCGGAAGCCUGAUGCAGCGAGGCCGCGUGGGGGAUGACGGCCUUCGGGUUGUAAACUCCUUUCGACCGCGAGGAAGCCACCUGGUUGGAAGGGUGGUGACGGUAGUGGUAGAAGAAGCACCGGCUAACUACGUG
This 494-nucleotide ribosomal RNA is filed under the name uncultured bacterium. RNAcentral describes it as "partial 16S ribosomal RNA". It matches the Rfam family "Bacterial small subunit ribosomal RNA", at positions 28 to 507 of the family's 1533-position model. The record is from RNAcentral.